AUGAAAAAGGCUGACAAGUUCGAGUGGACUCCAGAAGCUGAUGCAGCGUUUGCUGAGCUAAAAGCUCUGCUGUCCACCCAGCCGGUGCUUGCUGCUCCAAUCAGCAAAGAGCCUCUGUUGCUCUACAUCGCAGCCACAGGACAAGUCGUCAGUACUGUGCUAACGGUCGAGCGGGAAGAAGAAGGAAAAGCUCUCAAAGUUCAGCGCCCAGUGUAUUAUUUGUCUGAAGUCUUGACUCCAUCCAAGCAGAGAUAUCCUCAUUAUCAGAAGCUUGUGUAUGGAAUAUACAUGACCACAAAGAAGGUUGCUCAUUAUUUCUCUGACCAUUCAAUCACAGUCGUCAGCGACGCUCCACUAUCAGAGAUUUUGCACAACAGAGAUGCAACUGGUCGAGUGGCCAAAUGGGCGAUUGAACUUCUUCCCCUUGAUAUCAAGUUUGAGGCAAAGAAAGCCAUUAAGUCCCAGGCAAUAGCAGAUUUCCUCGCCGAGUGGAUCGAACAACAGCAGUCGACUGAAGUUCACUCGGAGCAUUGGACCAUGUUUUUCGAUGGUUCUAAGAUGUUGAAUGGUUCCGGUGCUGGGGUUGUCCUGGUUUCCCCCAGAGGAGAUAAGCUCAGAUAUGUGCUCCAGAUUCACUUUGAUUCCUCCAACAAUGAGGCAGAAUAUGAGGCCCUCCUGUAUGGGUUGCGCAUGGCCAUUUCACUCGGCGUCCGUCGCCUAAUGGUCUAUGGCGACUCGGAUUUAGUGGUCAAUCAGGUGAUGAAAGAGUGGGACGUGAGAAGCCCAGCCAUGACUGGAUACUGCAAUGCAGUGAGGAAGCUGGAGAAAAAGUUCGAGGGGUUGGAGCUCCAUCAUAUACCCCGACUGAAGAAUCAAGCAGCUGAUGAUCUAGCAAAGAUAGGUUCCAAGAGAGAAGCCAUUCCGAGUGGCGUGUUCUUAGAGCAUAUACAUACUCCGUCAGUCAAAGAAGACCCUUUCACAGAAGGAACUCCGCAGCCUAAGAGCGCCACAUAUCCGACUGAAGUGGAAGUCCCAGCAGUGGUCGACUUGGUCAUGGAGGAAGAAAGGGAGAUGGCUCUGAUCCGCUCGACCAUCUACCAACAAGAUCUGCGCCGUUUCCACGCCCGAAAUGUGAGAGGUCGAGCCUUCCAGGAAGGAGAUCUGGUUCUCCGAGUGGAUCAGCACAAACCACACAAGCUUGCUCCUUCUUGGGAAGGCCCCUUCAUCGUCACUAAGGUUCUCCACAACGGGGCGUACCAUCUUUACAACGUCGAGCAUAAUAUCGACGAGCCCCGAGCUUGGAACGCGGAGCUACUCCGCCCAUUUUACACUUAA
RNAcentral lists this ribosomal RNA (1335 nucleotides) under Triticum aestivum (bread wheat). RNAcentral's name for it is "partial small subunit ribosomal RNA". Lineage: Eukaryota; Viridiplantae; Streptophyta; Magnoliopsida; Poales; Poaceae. The record is from RNAcentral.